GCAGCAGUAGGGAAUUUUCGGCAAUGGACGGAAGUCUGACCGAGCAACGCCGCGUGAAUGAUGAAGUAUUUCGGUAUGUAAAGUUCUUUUAUUUGGGAAGAAAAAACAAAUUGACGGUACCAAAUGAAUAAGCCCCGGCUAACUACGUGCCAGCAGCCGCGGUAAUACGUAGGGGGCAAGCGUUAUCCGGAAUUAUUGGGCGUAAAGGGUGCGUAGGCGGGUUAUCAAGUCUUUGGUUAAAAUGCGGUGCUCAACGCCGUAGUGCCAAAGAAACUGAUAGUCUAGAGUAUGGUAGAAGUGAGUGGAACUCCAUGUGUAGCGGUAAAAUGCGUAAAUAUAUGGAAGAACACCAGUGGCGAAGGCGGCUCACUAGGCCAAUACUGACGCUGAGACACGAAAGCGUGGGGAGCAAACAGGAUUAGAUACCCUGGUAGUCCACGCCCUAAACGAUGAGUACUAAGUGUAGCCAGAAGGCUGUGCUGAAGUUAACGCAUUAAGUACUCCGCCUGAGUAGUACGUACGCAAGUAUGAAACUUAAAGGAAUUGACGGGAUCCCGCACAAGCGGUGGAGCAUGUUGUUUAAUUCGACGAUACGCGAAGAACCUUACCAGGUCUUGACAUACUCGGCAAAUCUAUAGAGAUAUAGAGGAGGUUAACCGGGAUACAGGUGGUGCAUGGUUGUCGUCAGCUCGUGUCGUGAGAUGUUAGGUUAAGUCCUGCAACGAGCGCAACCCUUAUUGCUAGUUACCAUCAUUAAGUUGGGGACUCUAGCGAGACUGCCGGUGAUAAAACGGAGGAAGGCGGGGAUGACGUCAAAUCAUCAUGCCCUUUAUGACCUGGGCUACAAACGUGCUACAAUGGCUGACACAAAGAGAAGCGAGCUCGCGAGAGUAAGCAAACCUCAGAAAAGCA
Molecule: ribosomal RNA, 912 nt
Filed under: human gut metagenome
Description: bacterial SSU rRNA
Rfam family: Bacterial small subunit ribosomal RNA
Source: RNAcentral